GGCGACGUAGCCAAGUGGUUAAGGCAAUGGCUUGCAAAACCAUAUUCUCUGGUUCGAAUCCAGACGUCGCCU
RNAcentral lists this transfer RNA (72 nucleotides) under Syntrophus aciditrophicus SB. It matches the Rfam family "tRNA". From Rfam's summary of the family: Transfer RNA (tRNA) molecules are approximately 80 nucleotides in length. Lineage: Bacteria; Pseudomonadati; Thermodesulfobacteriota; Syntrophia; Syntrophales; Syntrophaceae. The record is from Rfam by way of RNAcentral.